AGUGUUUAUUAAACUAAACAAAACUCAAGCAAAAUGAAAUUCGUAUAUUUUUUGGCAAUUUGUGUUUUAAGUAUGGUUGCUCUAGCAAAGGCUGAUAGCAAGCCCCUUAACUUGGUUUUGCCUAAAGAAGAACCUAAAAAUUUGCCUCAACUUUAUGGUGGCGGUGGUGGUUCCCGUAAAGAUGGCUUUGAUGUAAGCUCAGCAAAAGGUUUGGGAGAGUCAAAACAAACGUCAUUCAGUUGAUGUCAAUGCUGGUUAUGCUCAACAUUUAAGUGGUCCUUAUGGCAAUAGUCGUCCAGCUUAUAGUGGUGGUGCUAGUUACACUUAUAGAUUUGGUUAAUUGGAGACAAUUUCUUACUUAGAUCAUAAACACUCAUAUUUAUCUUAAGUUCAUAUGUACAAACAAAUUACAUAAUAAAAAAUAUUAUUAAAAUCUAACUGAUUAUGAAAAA
Long non-coding RNA from Calliphora vicina (urban bluebottle blowfly), 452 nucleotides. RefSeq lists it as uncharacterized. Lineage: Eukaryota; Metazoa; Arthropoda; Insecta; Diptera; Calliphoridae. The transcript has 2 exons. The record is from RefSeq and is a predicted model, not a curated record.